RNAcentral lists this ribosomal RNA (434 nucleotides) under uncultured bacterium. RNAcentral describes it as "partial 16S ribosomal RNA". It matches the Rfam family "Bacterial small subunit ribosomal RNA", at positions 341 to 792 of the family's 1533-position model. RNAcentral also lists the same sequence under 2 other names. The record is from RNAcentral.
ACGGGAGGCAGCAGUGGGGAAUAUUGCGCAAUGGGGGAAACCCUGACGCAGCAAUACCGCGUGAGUGAAGAAGGUUUUCGGAUCGUAAAACUCUUUUAUUGGGGAAGAAGAUGACGGUACCCAAUGAAGAAGUCCCGGCUAACUACGUGCCAGCAGCCGCGGUAAUACGUAGGGGACAAGCGUUGUCCGGAAUGACUGGGCGUAAAGGGCGCGUAGGCGGGGUACUAAGUCUGAUGUGAAAGGUCUCGGCUCAACCGAGGACAUGCAUUGGAAACUGGUACUCUUGAGUACUGGAGAGGCAAGUGGAAUUCCUAGUGUAGCGGUGAAAUGCGUAGAUAUUAGGAGGAACACCGGCGGCGAAGGCGGCUUGCUGGACAGAUACUGACGCUGAGGCGCGAAAGCGUGGGGAGCAAACAGGAUUAGAUACCCUGGUA